CUUUCUCUCUCUCUUCCACUCUCCCUAAAAAUCAAUGGAAAAAUAUCCUCGAGUGAGGGUGUAGUGGGAAGUGGCAUCUGGUAGCAGAAAUGAGAAGAAAAUGUGGGAGGAUAGAAGAGGUAAGGUAAUAGGAAAUUAAGAAAAACACACGUCCCGGAAAGAACUGCUCUUCACCCCUACCACUCAGCCUGAGCCAUGCUCUAGGCUAGGGUGUGUGUGUGUUUAAACAAAUCUCCAUAGCAACCAUCUGGUUUCUGUCUUUCUAUGACAGCACAGGCUUUUGGUUUCUAAAUAUGGGCACUAGAGAGAACUAGUGAGGACUGGGAGGGGGGUGGGGGGGAAACUAGGCAGAAAACACAGAUUUCUUUGGUAUGCCUUCAAUUAUCCCUCCCAGUUCACCCUCAAGGUAGGAAAGGGGCUUAAGGUCUUUUCUUGAUUCACAACAGUCACAAUUAAGCACCGAGUCUUGCAUACCUUUGUAUUCUUUUAACCAAUUAUGUAAAUUCCUAUCCUGUCAGGGGGAUUCCCCUGGGGCAAGAGGGGAGAGAGAGAGAGAGAAACUUUUGCUUCCCAUUUUCACUCCAGGUGCCACUUUCGGGCAGAGAGGUCAGAGGAUCCCCUCCAAGGAUGGUGUGGUGGCCCCAGAGGGAAAGAAGCCAUGGACAAGGGUGUAUGAGUAAGGACAGGCACCGCUGAGAUUAAGUGGGCCCAGGCCAGAGUACUGAGAGCCCCUUAAGUCAGCACAGUGACUCUCAGCCAGGGGACCCCAAGGGACAUUUGGUAACGUCUGGGGACUUUUUGAUGGUCCUGACCGAGCAUCUAGUGGGUAGAGGAAGGAGAUGCUGUUAAUAUUUAUCUUAUGACACACAGGACAAAAAACCAAACCAAGACAACACACAACAACAA
Myotis brandtii (Brandt's bat) is the source of this 906-nucleotide long non-coding RNA. RefSeq lists it as uncharacterized. The transcript has 2 exons. The record is from RefSeq and is a predicted model, not a curated record. NCBI's taxonomy places the organism in Eukaryota, Metazoa, Chordata, Mammalia, Chiroptera, Vespertilionidae.